Long non-coding RNA from Aphis gossypii (cotton aphid), 920 nucleotides. RefSeq lists it as uncharacterized. Lineage: Eukaryota; Metazoa; Arthropoda; Insecta; Hemiptera; Aphididae. The record is from RefSeq and is a predicted model, not a curated record. The transcript has 4 exons.
CUAUGACUGAUACUUAGAUAACUUAAUUUUUUAUUAACUUUACUGUCUUUACUAUUGAUUUAAAUCAUUCUUGUGGAAGAUUUUUUUUUUAUCUAGAUUCCUUGUUUAAUCAAUUAUCUGAAUAAUUUAUAGUUUAUACCAGUUGUAGCUUGUACUUAUAUAGUAACUUUCAAAGCUAACAAUUAUAUCAAGUACUAAAAGUACUUAUUCAGUUUUUGGUGGAUAUGAAAUGAGAUUGAUUCCUGGCGAUUGAUAUAAAAUCAAUUUUGAGUAAAGCCCAAAGUCUGUCAAAACUAUAUUCAACUAAUCAACACUAGUUUACAUUUUAAAGUAAACCCUUUAGAUGGAAUUCUAAACAAACUUAAUUUUAGGUCUCAGCUUAUUUCUUUCACAAAAGUGUUCAUCAUUGUAACUCAAGUUCCAGACAAUCUUUCUUUCUGUGUUGCCACAUGGAAUAAUAAAUUAUAAGUGAGAUAUUUUUAUCAUUAUUUCAUUGAAUAAAAUAAAAUACUUGAUUAUUGUAAAUGAAAUUUUAAUAUAUAUACCUUCCAGUGACCAGUUACUAAUAAAUAUUAAAAGUUCAUAGUAGCUUCAAAUAAUAUAAUAUCAUCGUACUAUAGUGUAUUAUGCUAUGAUGAUUUGGUAAUUGUUUUUAUUUGUUCAAUGAAAAAGGAAAUAUAUAAAUUUAUCUCAAUAUUAUAAUGAUUAGUCAAUAUUUUUUUUUACUUUUUUAGUGUAUCUGUAGCAUUAUUUUAAGCUUGAUUGUAUCAUAUCUGUAUCUAUAUUAUAAGUUUGAAUUUAUAUUAUAUUAAAAUUUUAUAAAAUUUAUUUAAUAUUUUAAUAUAAUACACUAUUAACACUUUUACAUUUUCUUCAUAUUCCAUUGUUUUUAAUGUUUAUAACCCAAAUAGAUAUUAUGU